GGGGUUGUGGCCCAGUGGAACAGUGCUCGCCUACCAUGUGUGAGGUACUGAGUUCGAUCCUCAGCACCACA
This 71-nucleotide transfer RNA is filed under the name Marmota monax (woodchuck). RNAcentral's name for it is "tRNA.Gly". The record is from RNAcentral. Lineage: Eukaryota; Metazoa; Chordata; Mammalia; Rodentia; Sciuridae.